This 250-nucleotide ribosomal RNA is filed under the name uncultured bacterium. RNAcentral's name for it is "partial 16S ribosomal RNA". It matches the Rfam family "Bacterial small subunit ribosomal RNA", at positions 524 to 773 of the family's 1533-position model. The record is from RNAcentral.
GACGAACCGUACAAACGUUAUUCGGAAUCACUGGGCUUAAAGGGUGCGUAGGCGGCUUUGCAAGUCGGGUGUGAAAGCCCUCGGCUCAACCGAGGAAUUGCGCCCGAAACUGCCGAGCUUGAGGGACACAGAGGUAAGCGGAACUAAGGGUGGAGCGGUGAAAUGCGUUGAUAUCCUUAGGAACACCAGGAGCGAAAGCGGCUUACUGGGUGUCUUCUGACGCUGAGGCACGAAAGCCAGGGGAGCGAAC